RNAcentral lists this small RNA (129 nucleotides) under Clostridium magnum. RNAcentral describes it as "c-di-AMP sequence". It matches the Rfam family "c-di-AMP riboswitch aptamer (ydaO/yuaA leader)". Rfam says of the family: This family represents a conserved RNA structure found upstream of the ydaO and yuaA genes in Bacillus subtilis and related genes in other bacteria. The ydaO/yuaA element is thought to act as a genetic "off" switch for the ydaO and yuaA genes in its native state. It is believed that the element may be triggered during osmotic shock leading to activation of ydaO, a predicted amino acid transporter gene, and members of the yuaA-yubG operon which code for KtrA and KtrB K+ transporters. Lineage: Bacteria; Bacillati; Bacillota; Clostridia; Eubacteriales; Clostridiaceae. RNAcentral also lists the same sequence under 1 other name. The record is from RNAcentral.
CAAUACCAUUAGCCUAAGUUUUUUAUAAAACGCGGGGAAACCAAAGAUUUUGGGGUGAAUCGUAUUUUACGUAGGUUUUGCCUUUACCGAACCCGUCAGCUAACCCCGUUGGUAAUAAGGAGAGGAUUA